GCCGUCCUAGCUCAAUUGGUAGAGCACCGUCCUGAAGCGGCGGGGGUAGCCAGUUCAACUCUGGCGGGCGGCA
RNAcentral lists this transfer RNA (73 nucleotides) under Candidatus Uhrbacteria bacterium. RNAcentral describes it as "tRNA-Phe". It matches the Rfam family "tRNA". Rfam says of the family: Transfer RNA (tRNA) molecules are approximately 80 nucleotides in length. Their secondary structure includes four short double-helical elements and three loops (D, anti-codon, and T loops). The record is from RNAcentral. Lineage: Bacteria; Candidatus Uhriibacteriota.